CAAGACAACUUUACGGAGUUGACGAUUGACGGAGCGAAGCGACGUCAAAGCGUUCAUUAAAGUCGAGUUGGCUUAGGGAUACGUUCGUUGGGUAGGGGAGCGUUCUGUAAGCCUGUGAAGGUGUGUCGUGAGGCAUGCUGGAGGUAUCAGAAGUGCGAAUGCUGACAUAAGUAACGAUAAAGCGGGUGAAAAGCCCGCUCGCCGGAAGACCAAGGGUUCCUGUCCAACGUUAAUCGGGGCAGGGUGAGUCGACCCCUAAGGCGAGGCCGAAAGGCGUAGUCGAUGGGAAACGGGUUAAUAUUCCCGUACUUGGUGUUACUGCGAAGGGGGGACGGAGAAGGCUAUGUUGGCCGGGCGACGGUUGUCCCGGUUUAAGCGUGUAGGUGUGUGUUCCAGGUAAAUCCGGUUCACUUUAACACUGAGGCGUGACGACGAGGCACUACGGUGCUGAAGCAACAAAUGCCCUGCUUCCAGGAAAAGCCUCUAAGCAUCAGGUAACACGAAAUCGUACCCCAAACCGACACAGGUGGUCAGGUAGAGAAUACCAAGGUGCUUGAGAGAACUCGGGUGAAGGAACUAGGCAAAAUGGUGCCGUAACUUCGGGAGAAGGCACGCUGACACGUAGGUGAAGUGAUUUACUCAUGGAGCUGAAGUCAGUCGAAGAUACCAGCUGGCUGCAACUGUUUAUUAAAAACACAGCACUGUGCAAACACGAAAGUGGACGUAUACGGUGUGACGCCUGCCCGGUGCCGGAAGGUUAAUUGAUGGGGUCAGCGCAAGCGAAGCUCCUGAUCGAAGCCCCGGUAAACGGCGGCCGUAACUAUAACGGUCCUAAGGUAGCGAAAUUCCUUGUCGGGUAAGUUCCGACCUGCACGAAUGGCGUAAUGAUGGCCAGGCUGUCUCCACCCGAGACUCAGUGAAAUUGAACUCGCUGUGAAGAUGCAGUGUACCCGCGGCAAGACGGAAAGACCCCGUGAACCUUUACUAUAGCUUGACACUGAACAUUGAGCCUUGAUGUGUAGGAUAGGUGGGAGGCUUUGAAGUGUGGACGCCAGUCUGCAUGGAGCCGACCUUGAAAUACCACCCUUUAAUGUUUGAUGUUCUAACGUGGACCCGUAAUCCGGGUUGCGGACAGUGUCUGGUGGGUAGUUUGACUGGGGCGGUCUCCUCCUAAAGAGUAACGGAGGAGCACGAAGGUUGGCUAAUCCUGGUCGGACAUCAGGAGGUUAGUGCAAUGGCAUAAGCCAGCUUGACUGCGAGCGUGACGGCGCGAGCAGGUGCGAAAGCAGGUCAUAGUGAUCCGGUGGUUCUGAAUGGAAGGGCCAUCGCUCAACGGAUAAAAGGUACUCCGGGGAUAACAGGCUGAUACCGCCCAAGAGUUCAUAUCGACGGCGGUGUUUGGCACCUCGAUGUCGGCUCAUCACAUCCUGGGGCUGAAGUAGGUCCCAAGGGUAUGGCUGUUCGCCAUUUAAAGUGGUACGCGAGCUGGGUUUAGAACGUCGUGAGACAGUUCGGUCCCUAUCUGCCGUGGGCGCUGGAGAACUGAGGGGGGCUGCUCCUAGUACGAGAGGACCGGAGUGGACGCAUCACUGGUGUUCGGGUUGUCAUGCCAAUGGCACUGCCCGGUAGCUAAAUGCGGAAGAGAUAAGUGCUGAAAGCAUCUAAGCACGAAACUUGCCCCGAGAUGAGUUCUC
RNAcentral lists this ribosomal RNA (1694 nucleotides) under Salmonella enterica subsp. enterica serovar Typhimurium. RNAcentral describes it as "partial 23S ribosomal RNA". It matches the Rfam family "Bacterial large subunit ribosomal RNA", at positions 1163 to 2813 of the family's 2925-position model. The record is from RNAcentral. Lineage: Bacteria; Pseudomonadati; Pseudomonadota; Gammaproteobacteria; Enterobacterales; Enterobacteriaceae.